Molecule: long non-coding RNA, 458 nt
Filed under: Volvox carteri
Lineage: Eukaryota; Viridiplantae; Chlorophyta; Chlorophyceae; Chlamydomonadales; Volvocaceae
Description: long non-coding RNA (VCAR_LNC003416)
Source: RNAcentral
CCGGUGCCUUCUCCACCGUCCCGUUCGCUAACCCUGCGGCCUCGCCAUUUGGCAACCACGUGGCGCCUCUGCACGCCCACAUGCAAAUGCACGCUGCUGCCGCUGCCGCCGCCGCGCACCUGGGCGCCAACAAUCCUGCGGAUCCAUCGCUGCUGGCGGCCCAGUUGGCUGCCCUCAAUAUUCAACAACAGCAGCAGCAGCAGCAGCAGCAGCAGAGACAGCAGCACCUGGGCAUUGGGAUUGGCAUCGGUGGAAUCAACAUGGCCAGCGGCGCGGCAGCCGCUGCCGCCGCAGCCGCUGCCGCCGGCAUCGGCCACGGCCCCGUGCAGUACGUGGCUUCCGCCGCCCCGCACCCGGCACUGAUACAUACAGGCAUGUACGGACCUGGCGGCGGCAUGUACGACACUGCGCAACAACACCUAAUGGUGGCGAUGGGCGGGGCGCAGGCGGAGGUAUGA